Molecule: ribosomal RNA, 543 nt
Filed under: uncultured Halobacteriales archaeon
Lineage: Archaea; Methanobacteriati; Methanobacteriota; Halobacteria; Halobacteriales
Description: bacterial SSU rRNA
Rfam family: Archaeal small subunit ribosomal RNA
Source: RNAcentral
GCGCGAAAACUCUACAAUGCACGAAAGUGUGAUAGGGGGACCCAGAGUGCUUAGUUUAACUAGGCUUUUGCCAAGAGUAAAUAUCUUGGAGAAUAAGUGGUGGGCAAGACUGGUGCCAGCCGCCGCGGUAAUACCAGCGCCACGAGUGGGAACUACUUUUAUUGGGCCUAAAGCGUCCGUAGCCGGUUUAAUAAAUUUCUUGUGAAAUUGUUGGACUUAAUCUAACAACGUGCAGGAAACACUGUUAAACUUGGGACUGGGAGGGGUUAGGAGUAUCUUUGGUGUAGCGGUAAAAUGUUAUGAUCCCAAAGAGACUACCGAUGGCGAAGGCACCUAACCAGAACAGGUCCGACGGUGAGGGACGAAAGCUAGGGGAGCAAACCGGAUUAGAUACCCGAGUAGUCCUAGCUGUAAACGCUGCGAGCAAGAUGUUGCGUAUUCUUCGUGAAUAUGCAGUAUCGAAGAGAAGUCGUUAAGCUCGCCGCCUGGGAAGUAUGGUCGCAAGGCUGAAACUUAAAGGAAUUGGCGGGGGAGCGACUAACG